This 1209-nucleotide long non-coding RNA is filed under the name Gopherus agassizii (Agassiz's desert tortoise). Its description in RNAcentral is "lncRNA (ENSGAGG00000024045.1)". Lineage: Eukaryota; Metazoa; Chordata; Testudines; Testudinidae. The record is from RNAcentral.
CAUCUGGCCUUCCGUCUGCCACGGGCAGCAGAGGAGCCGCAGUCGUCACUACUAGAGGCAACGAUGCCCCACCCAUCAGAUUGAAAGCAUGAAGUUAACAUACAAGAUUCCAGCUCUCUCCACUGCUGUUAACUUUUCACCAGCAUGCAUUAUCUGGGAUGAAGUGGAGCUAUAUUUUUCCCCAUCUUGUGAAACACACUGUCCAUAUUCUCACCAUAGUUAUUCCCAUCUACCAAGAUGAACCAGCACCAACUGAAAUGGCUCUAGGUCGAGCUGGAAGCAUAGCAGAAUACCAAAUGCACAUACUCCUCCUCCCCACACAACUCUGCACAUGCUCAGGACAUCAAGGAUCCGCUCUGUCUCUAGCUCAGGAUCAAAAAGUCCAGUUACGGCCCCAUAGCCACUUAAGAAAACGAAAAGAACAUUUUUGUUUCUUCCUUCCAAAGUGUUCAAAAUAUCAAUGGCCUUUGUAAACACUUAAAGCCAAGAGAAUUUGGACUUAGAACAGACUGAUCUUGAAAGCCUGCUUUCACUCUGAGGAAAACAGACUCAUUAAACUCAACUGGGGCAAAAUGCUACACUCUAAUGCAGGCAAUGUACCUCGAUUCCAAGCACAUGUGUAGAACUCAGUCAGAUCAUAGGAAUGGUCCUUUCAGUCUGGCAUCUUGUCUCCAACACUACCAGUACCAAAUACUUCAAAGGAAGGUGCAAGAAACCCCAUUCUGGACAAUGAUGGAAUAAUCCACCCAGAUGGAGAGUUUUUGGUGUAAGCAGAGGUGUGAGUGAGGAGAAUUGUGCAUACUCCUGCAGUGCCGGAGCCAAAAGGACUUGGAGAGACUCAAGCCCACAAGAUUGCCACAUCUGAAACCAGCAACUUCAACUUCCCAGCCUCUUAUGGGACAGAACUGAUUCCCUGCGGAUGAGGCAGAAGGAUUUCCCUGCCUGAGUUCCACUCCUCUGCUGUAAGACUCCAGCUUGGCUAUGUGGGAUGUCCCCUUCCCAGGCUUGAGAGCCACCACUCCAGCCCGAGCCAUAACAUUUACACAAGCUCUGCUAGCAGGGGUCCAGGCCUCCCCAGGUGCAGUGUUUGACAUACCUUGCAUGACCAAGGGAGAUGACUGGACUAGCAGUGAGCUCUCCUCAGUGUGGUGAUGCAGGAGAUGGAUGGGAAGGAGAUGGGGGAGCUGAGAGAAGAUCAGGAAACUGGAC